Molecule: ribosomal RNA, 326 nt
Filed under: uncultured eukaryote
Lineage: Eukaryota
Description: partial 18S ribosomal RNA
Rfam family: Eukaryotic small subunit ribosomal RNA
Source: RNAcentral
CCCUUAGAUGUUCUGGGCUGCACGCGCGCUACACUGAUGCACUCAACGAGUUUACGACCUUGCCCGAUAGGGUUGGGUAAUCUUUUUAAAAUGCAUCGUGAUGGGGAUAGAUUAUUGCAAUUAUUAAUCUUCAACGAGGAAUUCCUAGUAAGCGCGAGUCAUCAGCUCGUGCUGAUUACGUCCCUGCCCUUUGUACACACCGCCCGUCGCUCCUACCGAUUGAGUGCUCAGGUGAAUAAUUCGGACUGCAGCAAUGUUUGGAUCCCGAACGUUGCGGCGGAAAGUUUAGUGAACCUUAUCACUUAGAGGAAGGAGAAGUCGUAACA